GGGGCAUAUUGGACAAUGGGCGAACGCCUGAUCCAGCCAUGCCGCGUGUGUGACGAAGGUCUUCGGAUUGUAAAGCACUUUAAGUUGGGUGUAAGGGCAGUAAGUUAAUACCUCGCUGUUUUGACGUUACCAUAAGAAUAUGCACCGGCUCACUUCGUGCCAGCAGCCGCGGUAAUACGAAGGGUGCAAGCGUUAAUCGGAAUUACUGGGCGUAAAGCGCGCGUAGGUGGUUCAGCAAGUUGGAUGUGAAAUCCCCGGGCUCAACCUGGGAACUGCAUCCAAAACUACUGGGCUAGAGUACGGUAGAGGGUGGUGGAAUUUCCUGUGUAGCGGUGAAAUGCGUAGAUAUAGGAAGGAACACCAGUGGCGAAGGCGGCCCCCUGGACGAAGACUGACGCUCAGGCACGAAAGCGUGGGGAGCAAACA
RNAcentral lists this ribosomal RNA (426 nucleotides) under uncultured Pseudomonadaceae bacterium. RNAcentral describes it as "bacterial SSU rRNA". It matches the Rfam family "Bacterial small subunit ribosomal RNA", at positions 356 to 774 of the family's 1533-position model. The record is from RNAcentral. Lineage: Bacteria; Pseudomonadati; Pseudomonadota; Gammaproteobacteria; Pseudomonadales; Pseudomonadaceae.